This 193-nucleotide ribosomal RNA is filed under the name uncultured eukaryote. RNAcentral's name for it is "partial 18S ribosomal RNA". It matches the Rfam family "Eukaryotic small subunit ribosomal RNA", at positions 1 to 198 of the family's 1831-position model. The record is from RNAcentral.
UAACCUGGUUGAUCCUGCCAGUUAGUCAUAUGCUUGUCUUAAAGAUUAAGCCAUGCAUGUCUAAGUAUAAGCUUGUAUACGGUGAGACUGCGAAUGGCUCAUUAAAACAGUUAUAGUUUCUUUGCUGAACGUGUAUAUGGAUAACCGUAGCAAUUCUAGAGCUAAUACAUGCUGGUUGCAUCGCUCUGCGGUG